Molecule: long non-coding RNA, 205 nt
Filed under: Vigna radiata
Lineage: Eukaryota; Viridiplantae; Streptophyta; Magnoliopsida; Fabales; Fabaceae
Description: long non-coding RNA (VRAD_LNC001081)
Source: RNAcentral
AAUAAAGUUAAGGGAUCAUGACCAAGUGCUGGUUUAUGGCUCUGAAGAAACUACACGGAGGGCAGUAAGGAGAUUCAAAUAUAAAAGGGCCAAGAGAGAAGCUGCAAAGGAAGAAAACUCCACAGGUAUUGAUUUUCGUGACAAUUGUAAUGUUUUGCAGAUUCAUGAAAAAAGGAAGGUUUGCAAGGAGGAAUCAACCCUUUCA